This is a non-coding RNA of Cinara cedri, 124 nucleotides long. The record is from the annotation of a GenBank genome assembly. Lineage: Eukaryota; Metazoa; Arthropoda; Insecta; Hemiptera; Aphididae.
AUCGCUUCUCGGCCUAUCAGCUAAGAUCAAAAGUGUAUUAUCUAUUCUUAUCAACUUAACAUCUGAUGCACUUCUACGUGAAGUGCCAAAUGUUAAACUAAUUUUUGAAAACUGGGUACAGUUA